GACGAACGCUGGCGGCGUGCUUAACACAUGCAAGUCGAGCGGUAAGGCCCUUUCGGGGGUACGACGAGCGGCGAACGGGUGAGUAACACGUGGGUGACCUGCCCUCAGCUCUGGGAUAAGCCCGGGAAACUGGGUCUAAUACCGGAUAUGACUCCAUGACGCAUGUUGUGGGGUGGAAAGCCUUGUGCGGCUGAGGAUGGGCCCGCGGCCUAUCAGCUUGUUGGUGGGGUGANGGCCUACCAAGGCGACGAC
Molecule: ribosomal RNA, 252 nt
Filed under: uncultured bacterium
Lineage: Bacteria
Description: partial 16S ribosomal RNA
Rfam family: Bacterial small subunit ribosomal RNA
Source: RNAcentral